RNAcentral lists this ribosomal RNA (415 nucleotides) under uncultured bacterium. RNAcentral describes it as "bacterial SSU rRNA". It matches the Rfam family "Bacterial small subunit ribosomal RNA", at positions 99 to 510 of the family's 1533-position model. The record is from RNAcentral.
CGGACGGGUGAGUAAUGCGUAGGAAGCUACCCGAUAGAGGGGGAUACCAGUUGGAAACGACUGUUAAUACCGCAUAAUGUCUACGGACCAAAGUGUGGGACCUUCGGGCCACAUGCUAUCGGAUGCGCCUACGUGGGAUUAGCUAGUUGGUGAGGUAAUGGCUCACCAAGGCGACGAUCCCUAGCUGGUUUGAGAGGAUGAUCAGCCACACUGGAACUGAGACACGGUCCAGACUCCUACGGGAGGCAGCAGUGGGGAAUAUUGGACAAUGGGCGAAAGCCUGAUCCAGCCAUGCCGCGUGUGUGAAGAAGGCCUUCGGGUUGUAAAGCACUUUCAGUAGGGAGGAAGCGUUGAGUGUUAAUAGUACUCAGCGUUGACGUUACCUACAGAAGAAGCACCGGCUAACUCUGUGCCA